This 491-nucleotide ribosomal RNA is filed under the name uncultured bacterium. RNAcentral describes it as "partial 16S ribosomal RNA". It matches the Rfam family "Bacterial small subunit ribosomal RNA", at positions 30 to 507 of the family's 1533-position model. The record is from RNAcentral.
AUUGAACGCUGGCGGCAGGCUUAACACAUGCAAGUCGAGCGGUAACAGAGAGAAGCUUGCUUCUCUGCUGACGAGCGGCGGACGGGUGAGUAAUGCCUAGGAAUCUGCCUAGUAGUGGGGGAUAACUUGCCGAAAGGUAAGCUAAUACCGCAUACGUCCUACGGGAGAAAGGAGGGGACCUUCGGGCCUUUCGCUAUUAGAUGAGCCUAGGUCGGAUUAGUUAGUUGGUGAGGUAAUGGCUCACCAAGACCGCGAUCCGUAACUGGUCUGAGAGGAUGAUCAGUCACACUGGAACUGAGACACGGUCCAGACUCCUACGGGAGGCAGCAGUGGGGAAGAUUGGACAAUGGGGGGGAACCCUGAUCCAGCCAUGCCGCGUGUGUGAAGAAGGUCUUAGGAUUGUAAAGCACUUUAAGUUGGGAGGAAGAGCAGUUAACUAAUAUUUGACUGUUUUGACGUUACCGACAGAAUAAGCACCGGCUAACUUCGUG